UGCCGUUAUGGUCUGUUCAGAUUGUCUCA
Molecule: non-coding RNA, 29 nt
Filed under: Mus musculus (house mouse)
Lineage: Eukaryota; Metazoa; Chordata; Mammalia; Rodentia; Muridae
Source: RNAcentral